Molecule: small RNA, 125 nt
Filed under: Marmota monax (woodchuck)
Lineage: Eukaryota; Metazoa; Chordata; Mammalia; Rodentia; Sciuridae
Source: RNAcentral
GCUGGGUGCAGUGGUGCACACCUGUAAUCCCAGCAGCUGGAGAGGCUGGGGCAGGAGGAUUAUGAGUUCAAAGCCAGCUUCAGCAAAAGUGAGGCACUAAGCAACUCAAUGAGACCCUGCCUCCA